This 942-nucleotide long non-coding RNA is filed under the name Gallus gallus (chicken). Its description in RNAcentral is "long non-coding RNA NONGGAT007949". The record is from RNAcentral. Lineage: Eukaryota; Metazoa; Chordata; Aves; Galliformes; Phasianidae.
UGGGAACUGAAAACUGCAAUUAGGUGGUGAAAGCCCCACGCCUGCACCUCCCCCAGAAAUGCGGGGUUGGGGUGGAGGAGCUUUGGCCAGGUAGGUCUGAUGGUGGGCAGGCUGAGGCUGCAGUGUCCCCAUGCUGCCAGCAGUAAGACCAUUGGGAACGUGGUGGGGGUGGCAGGGUCAGGCUGGCUAGGGGUUGGGGUGGAUGGGGUUUGGGGUGCCCGGGGGUUCUGGGCACAGAACCUAUGGACGCUGGCAGAGUUCUGGGGCAGUGUGGCAGAGCUCUGAUUGUCCACGGGUUUGAAACAGCCAAGGGGUUGGGAUAGCCAAGGAUUUCGGUGGCAGAGCUCUGGUUGGCCAAGUGGGUUGCAGUGCCCAAGGAUUCAGGGUGGCAGAGCUCUCUGGCUGUCCAGGGGUUUGGGAUGCUCAGGGAUUUGGGCUGGAGGAGCUCUGGCGGUCCAGAGGUUUGAGAUGAUCAGGAGUUUGGGCUGCCCAGAGAUAGGGGAUGGUAUAGCACUGGUUGUCUGGGGAUUUGGGGUGACCAGGGCUUUGAGGUGCCCAGGGAUUCGGGGUGGCAGAGCUCUGACUGUCUAUAGGUUUGGAAUAAACAGAAGUUUAAGAUGCCCGAGGUAGGAGAGCUCUGAUUGUCCAGGGCUCUGUGAUGCCUGGGGGAUGGGGAUACCCAGGGAUUCAGGAUAGCAGAGGUUCAAUUGUCCGGAGGUUUCAGACACCCAUGAAUUUGGGUUGUGCAGAGAUUGGGGAUGCCAAGGGGUUUGGGAUGCCCAGGGCUUCGGGUUGUCCAGAGAUUGGGGGUGCCAAGGGGUUUGGACUGCCCAGAGAUAUCGAAUGGCAAAGCUCUGCUUGUCUGGGGAUUUGGGGUGGCCAGGGCUGAGAUUUGUGAUGGUCAGGGCUGGGAUUUGGGGCGUCAGAGCUCCUGUUGUCCAG